UGGAUGUUGGCAACAGUUGGUCCACUAUAGGAGUAGGAUGUGCAUCAAGAUAGAAUCUAUCAAUCUUGAUAGAAAAGAAUAAUUCUAUAAGAUUUGAGAGGGUAAGUCUGAGAAUCUAUGGCCAUAGCAAUGUGAUUGAUGGAAAAGAGUUUUUAUAAGGAUCAUAAUUGGACUUGAGCUGAUCGAAUCUAUCAUAUGAUUGAUGAUGAGGUUUGAUAAUUUAUCCAUGACCUGUCAUCU
RNAcentral lists this long non-coding RNA (240 nucleotides) under Elaeis guineensis (African oil palm). Its description in RNAcentral is "long non-coding RNA (EGUI_LNC053927)". Lineage: Eukaryota; Viridiplantae; Streptophyta; Magnoliopsida; Arecales; Arecaceae. The record is from RNAcentral.